GACGAACGCUGGCGGCGUGCUUAAAACAUGCAAGUCGAACGAGCACUUCGGUGCGAGUGGCAAACGGCUGAGUAACGCGUGGGUGACCUGCCUCGAAGUGGGGAAUAACUGCCCGAAAGGGUGGCUAAUACCGCAUGUGAUGGAUGAUCCAUUUCAUUCAUUAAAGCCGCAAGGCGCUUGGAGAGGGGCCCGCGUCCGAUUAGCUAGUUGGUGGGGUAAAGGCCUACCAAGGCGUCGAUCGGUAGCUGGUCUAAGAGGAUGAUCAGCCAGACUGGGACUGCGACACGGCCCAGACUCCUACGGGAGGCAGCAGUUAGGAAUUUUGGGCAAUGGGCGAAAGCCUGACCCAGCAACGCCGCGUGGGUGAUGAAGGCCUUAGGGUUGUAAAGCCCUUUUCCGAGGGAAGAUGAUGACGGUACCUCGGGAAUAAGCCCCGGCUAACUACGUGCCAGCAGCCG
Molecule: ribosomal RNA, 458 nt
Filed under: uncultured bacterium
Lineage: Bacteria
Description: bacterial SSU rRNA
Rfam family: Bacterial small subunit ribosomal RNA
Source: RNAcentral